Molecule: long non-coding RNA, 490 nt
Filed under: Phoenix dactylifera (date palm)
Lineage: Eukaryota; Viridiplantae; Streptophyta; Magnoliopsida; Arecales; Arecaceae
Description: long non-coding RNA (PDAC_LNC013114)
Source: RNAcentral
AUGGCUGGAGGUUGAGCUUUGAAUCGCGAAGGAGGGGGAGGGGAGGACGUGGAACAGGGGAAAGAAAUGAUUCGUGAGCUGGGAUAAAAUCUUUGGGCGCUAGAUUGGAUGCGGAAAGGAUGAUCAUGCGGCUUGUUCCAAAACAGGGGAGGAGAAGAUAAAAGAAAUUGACAUGGAAGAUGAAUACGGGAAUGAGUAGGAUAUGUGAAUUUUUUAUUAUUUAUAUUUCUUCUUCCUUUUUUAGAAAAGUGGUUGGGGUCCACUCGGGUAGGUUGGAAGGGCUUUGUUCUGAAUCUAAAAUAAAGGAAGUUUGGACACAUGGAGAAAAUGGGAGAGGCCUUUGUUUUGCUAAGUUGGGAAGCUUGGUGCACACGGAAAAUAUGACGUGGACAAACGAAUGGGUAGCUUCAUGCACAUGUGGGAGGUAGUAGUCCACACAUGGAACAGAUUGGGACUAGUUCGUGAAUGGGAUGACUCGACCUGCACACAC